Molecule: long non-coding RNA, 7613 nt
Filed under: Malus domestica (apple)
Lineage: Eukaryota; Viridiplantae; Streptophyta; Magnoliopsida; Rosales; Rosaceae
Description: long non-coding RNA (MDOM_LNC017077)
Source: RNAcentral
CCGGAGGGAUAAACUUUUCCUUAAACAAGUCCUUAAACAACUCUCAAUCGACUGUUCCUCCGGUGACAACAAAUCAUACUCCUGUUUCCACCAGGAUACAAAUUCAUAACCAAAACCAGGUAGUCGUCUCGACCCCUUGUCAGAAGGAAAUUUCCUUUGACUUGCAUAAUCUGAAACAUCUUUUCCAAAUGGUUAAACCGUUACUUCGCUCCCUCAGGUUCAUCAUUCCAUAAGGUGAUUCAAAUUCAAACUCAUAACCCGUCUUAAAAUGUCCCUUUUUAUAAUAGACUGAAUCACCAUAAUAAUAGUUUUCCCUAAACCGCUAUAUUAGGGAGACUAAAUUCCUCUAACUAAGUGGCUUGCUACGAGGCGGUGUAGUUCUGACAGAAUUCACUAGAACUUCUCAAAAUGUCCAAGAUUGCAACCAUGCUCUGAUACCAACUGACACACCCCGUCCCGAAGGAGGGCAUGCUGGCCGUCACGUGAGAGUGACGUAACCAUUUGCACAGUACGGAAGCUUUAAGAUACCAUUUAUAAGUUGAUACACCCGAAGGUGAGUCCUAAUUUGAUCCAUUCUGUCAGAACCCCGCUGAAUUCCUCGUAGCCACCACACCUCAGCUAUUCUUUAACCUGGAGGGGCGCAAAACCAAAAUUGAGUGGGUCAGUAAAACAAUUCUUUUCUAAAUCCAAACAUUUCUCAAAACGUUGUAACCCCUCUCCGUAAAACUUGUAUACUUUCCCAGAAAUGUAAAAUAUAAAUAUACAUAUAUAAUCUCAAACUUCAUUUUUACUAUCUCAACAUUUUUCUUUAUCAAUCAUGCCAUGCCAUGUCUAAUUCAACAGUUAAGUAUGGAUGCAUCAACAAUAAUCAUAUCAGGUGCAAGAAAGUAAUCAACCGGAGGCCCUCUAAUAGCCCUGUACGGUUGAACCUAGAGCUCAAAAUCUAUCACUCUCACUCUGCCGGAGUCACCUAUGUGACCUGUCCGGCCUUCUGCACACAAGUUACGCUCUAGUGCUUUCUCAUCAAUCAUCUGUGCACAUAAUCUAAGGUCACCCACCAGUCGAAAUCUCACUAACACUCUACGACUGGCCCGUCGCACCCACUCCGCGUGGACUAUGCGACCAGCAUCUACUUGGAUCCAAGGCGAGCGUGCGAUGCGGUGAAUACUAUAAGCACUAAACCAUGGUGCAGGAUUUGAGCUCAAUAUACAUCAACAUCAUCAUAACAGUAAUUAAAUACUCACCUGAUACUCACCUGUGCGUCCGCCGCACCAUUCAUUCAUAUGCAUCAUAUCUCAAUUCAUACUUUUCAUAUCAUUUCAUGCAUGGCAAUUCGAUUCACAUUUCUAUAUACUUUUCAUAUACUUUUAUGCAUGGCAUCUCAAUUUACAUUUCAAUAUACUUUUCAUAUAAUUUCAUACAUUGCAUUUAAAGCAUACUUUCAUUAAAUUUCAAUUUCUGGGAAAACGUCAAGUAUAUAUAUAUACGGAAAACAAAACUACCCACUCACCUGGAGUUCGCCCUACAACUCCCUAGCACAAUACGCCAAGGCGUCAUGACGAUCGGCGCCUAAAACAAUAAUCAAUUACAACCUUAGAAUUCAUAUCGAUAGAAUAUAUAACUUAUAUAAAAUACGUCACUACGUAGUUCGAUCCGGAAGAUCCACCACUCAGAUUUUAAAUCCAUAACUUCCAGAGGUCCACAAUAUAUCUCUAGGAUAACCUCCUAAAAUUUCAUUACCAUCCAACGGUCGGAUCGUCAAUUUAUUUUCACCUAAACGCAAAAACUAUAAAACGUUAUUUGAACACCUAACCAACAAUCCUUAAUAACUUUCUCAUACGGUGCUCAAUUUGGGUAUAUGAAUAUACCACAGUGAUCUACUCGACGUCACGGACGUCGACAUAUUUUUAAAAUAAUUUUUUACUGUAGCACGCGCCCCCACGCGCCAAGGAAGGCACGGGUCCACGCGUGCCCACGCGCACCUUCUUCCUCGCGAGUUCGCCGGACUGGUUUUUCUCCGGUGGCCGGAUUCUGGGCAUUUUUCAAAUGCCUUGUUCUCCUUCGUUUUUCACCCAUUUUCUUCGUAUAAUAUAUCAGAUUGAAGCCCCAAACAUGUAGAAUCGCAAUAUACUACUUUAAAGCUCUAAAAACCAGGAAAUCUCACCGGAAAAAUUCCAAGAAAACCGGCCAAAGAUGAACCACGUGAUCCCGGCGUCCAAAUCCUUCAAACGAAGUACUCCGAGCCUCCUUGGGACCUCACUAAGCUCACUAUGAGCUUGGAUUGUCCUAAAAUCAACCAACAAAAAGUUCAUGAAUAGUGCCAAACUCGGACCUCGAGUUUUCAACGCGAAAACAAAGGAUUCCUUACCUGAAAAUGGUGUCUACGUGAUCGUGGAGGCUCCAGGAGUUCGAUGGUGGUCUUAACUCCGUCGUUGGUAUAGAUUUAGGGUGGUUUUGUGGUGGUCCGUGUGAGUUCGAAGGAGAGGGAGAGAGAACUGAGAGUUUCGUGAGGGAGGAAAGAGAGGGAGACAAUGUUACGGGUUAUGGGGAGGGUUUUGAGGUGUGGGGAUCCCACGUGUCCAACCCAAUCCCAAUUUCAUAAAUUCCAACAUAAAAAUCCAAACUUAAGCCUAGUUUAAGUUCCUAAAACCAAAUAACUUAGGAACUUUAAGUAAAACCAAUUGUUAAAUUUUCGCCCCUUAGUCCCGUUUAAGGGCAUUUUUGUCUUUUCACGUCCUCGGAAUUAAAAUUCCGGGACGGGCUGUGACAAUCUUCCCUCCUUAUAGAAUUUCGUCCCCGAAAUUCCAGCAACCAACUAAAUCAACCAUACUCCAACAAUAGCUUCGGGUAAAUCUCUCUCAUCCGAUUCUCUUUCUCCCACAUAAUUUUCUACUGAAUGAUUUCCUUCACAAAGCUUUUACCACUUACUCUGUCUUAAUUCUCAGGACCUUCUUUUUCCAAUCCAAAGUCGUCCAUAGCUCCUCACUAAUUAGAUCUAGCUUAAUUCUCAAUAGUUGCACCAGAAUUCCAUGAGACGACUCUGCCACCUAGUGACAACGCAUCGAACCCAAAAUACAUUAUGUGCCUUAGCCAAUUUUGAAGGCAUCACAAACUUGUAUGCAACUUCGUCGAUUCCUUUAAUGAUCAAAACGGACUGAUGUGUUCAAGACUUAUCUUGUCUUCCUUUCUGAAUCUUACUAUUUCUGUUCAUGGUGAAUUUUCCAAAAUAUUGAAUCAUGAAACACAUCAUGCACUUACGACAACUCUAGAAGCCAUUCAAUUCUAUAAUCAACUUCACCAACCUUUCGAUGAUCACGCUAAGUCCGAUUCAUUUAGGAUUUAACUUGCCUUCCUUUCCAACCCGAAUUAUACUUUUCUAUGGUGAACACUUCGAAAAUAUAAAACCAUUUACCUUAUAUACUCGAUUAGUGGCAUAUCCAUCUGUUGAUCUCUUUUGCCAUUCCUGGUUACUUCAGGUUAACUUAAUCACUUGAAUACUUUGAGGAGACUCAUCCAUAGUCUCAGGGUCUACUAAAACUCUUUCUUGAUCGAAUCUUUCUCUAUUCAGAAGCAUUCCAUCCACAAAUCAGCAAAAAUCGACACACAUGACACAUUUCAUGGACCUUAUGGCGUUACUUCGGAAACUGCGCCACCAACAUACUUAAGAAACUCAACAGUUCCGUAAACCAAUUCUCCUAUCCAUAAAACAAAUAAGUACUGUUGCACUGUUUGGGAAAGGUUGUUACUCAACACUGGAGUAAAUGUACUAACUUGUUACGUUAACCCACUAUUACUUUAAAUUCGACCAUGACCAUCUUGUGUACAAGGAAGCUUGUACACAUAAUCCAAAGUAAUCUUUUUCCAUUUCCGCUGCGAAACAGAAAAUAGCUGUCUCAAUCCAAGGUUUAUUUCUUUCUGCCUUAAUCUGCUGACCAAUAAAAAUGUCAAAUGGUAUGAUAAAUCUUAUUACUUUUGGAAUAUUGCAGAAGUUGAACAGUGAACUUCGUCCAAUAUUUGCUUGCUUCAAAUCCUCAGCAUUAGGCACAUACUUUUUGUUUUCUUGUAUCCACAUACCAUUUGAUUCACGAAUCAUGUACUCAUUCUUUUUCCCUUCUUUCUCUGCCUUGGUUAAUUCUUAAAUUUCCUCGUCAAACAUUUAAGUUUCGAGUACGACCUUAUCAAACAGGCCUAACUUGAAAAUUAACAAGUAUAACUUCUUCUCGAUCUUUCAUUCUUAACUUUUCUUCCGUUGGUUUUCAAUCCACAAGAUGAUACUCUUGGCAAACGUGCCAGACAUUAAUCUUACUGCAAUCUUUUCACCAAGUGUAUCAGCUAGAACAAUUUUACGAUCACCCUGGUCGUACAAUCAUAUACAUUAAACAAUUCAAUUUACCUUCGCUACCUCAGAUCAAAAUCCUUCCGAGUAAUGGAUAUUGAAGACUUUUUGGAUUCGUAAAAAUCUUGCAUUCUUACCAAAUAUAAUGCCUUCAUAACUUCACAGCAAGAAUGGUAAUCAUGACUUCCAAGUCACCCGUAGGGUAAUUCAUCUCAUGAGGUUCCAUUUAUCGUGAAACGUAUGCAAUCACCCUAACAUUUGCAUCAACAUGCCUCCAAUACCAUUCAAGAAACAUCACUAAAAAUUUAUGAUUACCACUAUUCUCUGGGAAUACCAAAAUACGUGCAUGAGUGAGGAAAUACUUCAGUUGUUGAAUCCUUUGCUCACAAUUUCCUUCCCACUCAUACAUAACCUCUUUUCUCAACAGUCUCGUCAAUGACAAAGCAAUGACUAAAAACUCUUUCACAACCAUUCAAGAUAGCCUGGUAAGUUAAGAAAUUCCAAAUCUCAAUUAUGACUCGUGGUUGUUCCAAAUUCUCAAUUUCUGCUAUCUUUUAAGGAUUCACUUGAAUACCUUAAGCAGAUAUAACCAAUCUCAGAAUGCCACUUGAUUCAUCCAACAUUCGCAUUUGCUAAACUUAGCAUACAAUCGACAUUCUUCCAAUCUUUGUUCCACCGACUUAAUACGUUUACAUACUCUGCUCUGGCUCAGAAUAUGCCAGAAUAUCUUCAAUGAAAAUGAUAUCACUUUAUCAAGUCAUUAUUGGAAUACUUCAUCCAUCAACUCAUAAAACAGCAUGAGUAUCCAUAUAGCAUCACCAAACUUCAUAAAGACUAUAACAAGUCCAGAAAAACCAUCUUAUGAUCAACGUCACUUAUAAUAUUCAAUUGGUAGUAACCAGAUCUCAAUUCAAUCUUUGAAUCUUCGCAAUUACUUCUGAGCUGGUUAAAUAAACAUCAGUACAUCACCAUGGAUAACGAUUCUCGAUCGUUACCAAUUCCAUUGUCUAUAAUCAAUGGAUAGCCUUAAAAUCCAUUUUCUUCCUCACCAACGAACUGGGGCUCCCCCAAAGCGUUGUACUAAGUUGAAUAAAACUUUUAUCAACCAAUUCUUUCAACUGAAUUUCCAAUUCCCUUAACUCAUCAUGAACCAAUCUCCAAUAUAAAUUUAUACCUGGCAACAAAUCAAUAAUGAACCUUAUAUCUCUGCCUGAAGACAAUCCAGGUAUACUUUCAGGGAAGACAUCAAGAAAAGUCUAACCCUUUUGACAUUAUUCACACUACUCCAAACAACAUCAUUUAGCACCACAUGAGCUAAGUAUUUUUGACAGCCUUUCGAAAACAAUCUCUUUGCUCUCACAGCAUAAAUAACGGCCCGACUCAAUCCACUUUGCAUACUUACAAAAGAAAUCUCUGGUCAUCUAGAUCGAUGGAAAGUACUGGUUUCCCGUAACAUUCCGUCUUGUCACAAUUAUAACCAACCAAUCUAAUGGAAUAAAAUUAACUGACCCAAUACAUACUUUAUUAUUACUGAACAUUCUGAAUAAUUACAACACUAACAUAAAAUAACCUACUGGUUUGCUUGCUUAACGAAUCCACGAAUGAGUUAUUAAUAUUACGGUCUGCAGCCCGCAAUACUGAUAAAUCAUCGUUGUCUCGAUAAGUAGGCAACCACUCUCAAAGAUAUAACAUUACUAUUUUGUCACUCAAUGCAAAAUACAUACACUCGUCUCAACUACAUUUAUUUACUACUCUCUAGGUAAUAACAUACAUAAUAAGAAAUAUAUCAGCCGAAGUCAACUAGAAUGACCAAUACGGCUGAUUCAACUCUUAUCUCAAUAAUACGUCGGCCGGAUCCACUCCGCGUGGUCGGUACGGCCGAGCCUAUAACUCACCAAUUUCUCAUGCGUCAGCCAGAUCCACAUCUCGUGGCCUGUAUGGCUGAACAUAUAACUCAUCAAAUCUCUCUGUACCCACGGUCAAUCCGACCAAACUACUAAGUCCAUAAACCUGCUGAAUCGAUACUACGAUGUCAUAGAAAACUGUUGGGUACAACUGAGUUUAGGGACGAUUCAUAAUUCUGUGUCCCCUCUGUUCACAUAAACACAUUCCUUGAUUUCACAUUUCUCAAAGUGUUAAUUUUGUACCUGCUGCACAAGGUACAUUUCCUUUACUCGAGACACCUUGUCUCAAAUAUCUGGGAUUACCAGUAUAUCCAUCACUUUUACUCUGACCAGCGACAUUAAAACCUCAGCUGGAAGAAUUAACUCUAGCUUCACUUCUUUCAAAGCUCUGAAUCUUUCUAUAUCCUUGAUAUGACGAAUCAUUAACUUUAUCGUCUUAUUUUAAUUCCCAAUCUUUUCUUAUUCUUCUUUACUCUCGUUGAUCAUGUUCUCAGAGUCCUCAAGGCUCAACAACAUCUCGUAUACUCCUGGUAAUAAAUACAAUGGAUAGUGGUCACCCAAAAUACCACUUCCCUUUUUGCCACCCAGCUUAAAACAACAUAACACCUCCACCAACUUAACAACAAUAUCUGGAUGGAACGAGGCAAGUCUGAAAACUUUCUAUAAUAUUCAUUUGUCGUCAACUUCCUUGAUUCACAUUUGCAAACUCUUGUUUACUACCAUCGAUCAAUGCCGGAGGGAUAAACUUUUCCUUAAACAAGUCCUUAAACAACUCUCAAUCGACUGUUCCUCCGGUGACAACAAAUCAUACUCCUGUUUCCACCAGGAUACAAAUUCAUAACCAAAACCAGGUAGUCGUCUCGACCCCUUGUCAGAAGGAAAUUUCCUUUGACUUGCAUAAUCUGAAACAUCUUUUCCAAAUGGUUAAACCGUUACUUCGCUCCCUCAGGUUCAUCAUUCCAUAAGGUGAUUCAAAUUCAACUCAUAACCCGUCUUAAAAUGUCCCUUUUUAUAAUAGACUGAAUCACCAUAAUAAUAGUUUUCCCUAAACCGCUAUAUUAGGGAGACUAAAUUCCUCUAACUAAGUGGCUUGCUACGAGGCGGUGUAGUUCUGACAGAAUUCACUAGAACUUCUCAAAAUGUCCAAGAUUGCAACCAUGCUCUGAUACCAACUGACACACCCCGUCCCGAAGGAGGGCAUGCUGGCCGUCACGUGAGAGUGACGUAACCAUUUGCACAGUACGGAAGCUUUAAGAUACCAUUUAUAAGUUGAUACACCCGAAGGUGAGUCCUAAUUUGAUCCAUUCUGUCAGAACCCCGCUGAAUUCCUCGUAGCCACCACACCUCAGCUAUUCUUUAACCUGGAGGGGCGC